AAUCAAUGAGCUGGCAUUGGGAAUUCGAUGACGACGCCCACGAUGACGAAGAUUCUGAUGACGACGGUGACGAUGAUGACGAGACUAAUUUAAUGACUAUUGUUCUUUGACUCUUUGACUGUAUGUUCCAUUGACCUGGUCCGAAUGUGACGAAAGCGGGGAAUACUUGCUCAGCCAUAGCCCAGCAGAUACUUGGGCAGGUAGGUAAUCGAUGAAAUCAGGCUGUAACUGUUUAAAAGAGAUGUGGCAAGUGCGAA
Drosophila albomicans is the source of this 257-nucleotide long non-coding RNA. RefSeq lists it as uncharacterized. The transcript has 2 exons. Lineage: Eukaryota; Metazoa; Arthropoda; Insecta; Diptera; Drosophilidae. The record is from RefSeq and is a predicted model, not a curated record.